ACUCCUACGGGAGGCAGCAGUGGGGAAUAUUGCACAAUGGGCGCAAGCCUGAUGCAGCCAUGCCGCGUGUAUGAAGAAGGCCUUCGGGUUGUAAAGUACUUUCAGCAGUGAGGAAGGUGGGUAUGUUAAUAGCAUACUCAUUUGUACGUUAGCUGCAGAAGAAGCACCGGCUAACUCCGUGCCAGCAGCCGCGGUAAUACGGAGGGUGCGAGCGUUAAUCGGAAUUACUGGGCGUAAAGCGCAUGCAGGUGGUUGUUAAGUCAGAUGUGAAAGCCCGGGGCUCAACCUCGGAAUUGCAUUUGAAACUGGCAAACUAGAGUACUGUAGAGGGGGUUAGAAUUUCAGGUGUAGCGGUGAAAUGCGUAGAGAUCUGAAGGAUACCGGUGGCGAAGGCGGCCCCUGGACAGAUACUGACACUCAGAUGCGAAAGCGUGGGAGCAAACAGGAUUAGAUACCCCGUGGUAGCGACUGA
RNAcentral lists this ribosomal RNA (472 nucleotides) under uncultured bacterium. Its description in RNAcentral is "bacterial SSU rRNA". It matches the Rfam family "Bacterial small subunit ribosomal RNA", at positions 335 to 803 of the family's 1533-position model. The record is from RNAcentral.